GAUUUGAAGUUCUUUGUCCGCGACUUACUAAAGAAAUACCUAAAACUCGAAUCUGGGAAGUAUUUCCAAAAUUUUAUCACAGAGGAUACUGCGUAGGGUAGAAAUUUACUUUUUAAUAUAAAUGUCAGGUUGUUUCACUCAACUUUCAGGUAAACUUUUGUCUUGAUUCUAAAUUUAAACGAUGUUUCGGGCUAUAUGCUGAAGAUUUUCCAGGAACCUCAAA
Limulus polyphemus (Atlantic horseshoe crab) is the source of this 223-nucleotide long non-coding RNA. RefSeq lists it as uncharacterized. The transcript is spliced from 3 exons. Lineage: Eukaryota; Metazoa; Arthropoda; Merostomata; Xiphosura; Limulidae. The record is from RefSeq and is a predicted model, not a curated record.